GCGUGGGUGAUAAGGUCUUCGGAUUGUAAAGCCCUUUUGGCGGGGACGAUGAUGACGGUACCCGCAGAAUAAGCUCCGGCUAACUUCGUGCCAGCAGCCGCGGUAAUACGAAGGGGGCUAGCGUUGUUCGGAAUUACUGGGCGUAAAGCGUGCGCAGGCGGCGCGCCAAGUCAGAGGUGAAAUCCUGGGGCUCAACCCCAGAACUGCCUUUGAGACUGGCGUGCUGGAGUGCGGGAGAGGUGAGUGGAAUUCCCAGUGUAGAGGUGAAAUUCGU
Molecule: ribosomal RNA, 274 nt
Filed under: uncultured bacterium
Lineage: Bacteria
Description: partial 16S ribosomal RNA
Rfam family: Bacterial small subunit ribosomal RNA
Source: RNAcentral